RNAcentral lists this ribosomal RNA (492 nucleotides) under uncultured bacterium. RNAcentral describes it as "partial 16S ribosomal RNA". It matches the Rfam family "Bacterial small subunit ribosomal RNA", at positions 29 to 507 of the family's 1533-position model. The record is from RNAcentral.
AGUGAACGCUGGCGGUAGGCCUAACACAUGCAAGUCGAACGGCAGCACAGUAAGAUCUUGCUCUUACGGGUGGCGAGUGGCGGACGGGUGAGGAAUACAUCGGAAUCUACUUUUUCGUGGGGGAUAACGUAGGGAAACUUACGCUAAUACCGCAUACGACCUACGGGUGAAAGCAGUGGAUCUUCGGACCUUGCGCGUUUGAAUGAGCCGAUGUCGGAUUAGCUAGUUGGCGGGGUAAAGGCCCACCAAGGCGACGAUCCGUAGCUGGUCUGAGAGGAUGAUCAGCCACACUGGAACUGAGACACGGUCCAGACCCCUACGGGAGGCAGCAGUGGGGAAUAUUGGACAAUGGGCGCAAGCCUGAUCCAGCCAUACCGCGUGGGUGAAGAAGGCCUUCGGGUUGUAAAGCCCUUUUGUUGGGAAAGAAAAGCAGCAGGUUAAUACCCCGAUGUUCUGACGGUACCCAAAGAAUAAGCACCGGCUAACUUCGUG